Molecule: ribosomal RNA, 326 nt
Filed under: uncultured Veillonellaceae bacterium
Lineage: Bacteria; Bacillati; Bacillota; Negativicutes; Veillonellales; Veillonellaceae
Description: bacterial SSU rRNA
Rfam family: Bacterial small subunit ribosomal RNA
Source: RNAcentral
GACGAACGCUGGCGGCGUGCCUAACACAUGCAAGUCGAACGGGGAUUUUGUUUCGGCAGAAUCCUAGUGGCGAACGGGUGAGUAACGCGUAGGCAACCUGCCCUCCGGCCGGGGACAACACUCCGAAAGGGGUGCUAAUACCGGAUACGAAGUCUGUGCCGCAUGGUACGGAUUUGAAAGAUGGCCUCUAUUUAUAAGCUAUCGCCGGGGGAUGGGCCUGCGUCCGAUUAGCUGGUUGGUGGGGUAACGGCCCACCUAGCCAUCGAUCAGUAGGGGUUCUGAGAGGAAGGUCCCCCACAUUGGAACUGAGACACGGUCCAAACUCC